Molecule: small nuclear RNA, 73 nt
Filed under: Mus pahari (shrew mouse)
Lineage: Eukaryota; Metazoa; Chordata; Mammalia; Rodentia; Muridae
Source: RNAcentral
AUUACACCAGAGAAGAUUAGCAUGGCUCCUGCACAAGGACGGCAGAAAAACUUGUGAAACACUCCACACUUUC